GAUGAACGCUAGCGGCAGGCCUAAUACAUGCAAGUCGAACGAUAGUAACCAGCUUGCUGGUUACGAAAGUGGCGCACGGGUGCGUAACGCGUAUGCAACCUACCUUAAUCAGGGGGAUAGCCCGAAGAAAUUCGGAUUAACGCCGCAUAAAAUCACAGCACAGCAUUGUGUAAUGAUCAAAUAUUUAUAGGAUUAAGAUG
This 200-nucleotide ribosomal RNA is filed under the name uncultured bacterium. Its description in RNAcentral is "partial 16S ribosomal RNA". It matches the Rfam family "Bacterial small subunit ribosomal RNA", at positions 28 to 227 of the family's 1533-position model. The record is from RNAcentral.